GCGGUCGUGGCGAAGUGGUUAACGCACCGGAUUGUGGCUCCGGCACUCGUGGGUUCGAUUCCCACCGGUCGCC
RNAcentral lists this transfer RNA (73 nucleotides) under Sediminibacillus halophilus. Its description in RNAcentral is "tRNA_His_GTG". It matches the Rfam family "tRNA". From Rfam's summary of the family: Transfer RNA (tRNA) molecules are approximately 80 nucleotides in length. Their secondary structure includes four short double-helical elements and three loops (D, anti-codon, and T loops). Lineage: Bacteria; Bacillati; Bacillota; Bacilli; Caryophanales; Bacillaceae. The record is from RNAcentral. RNAcentral also lists the same sequence under 2 other names.